Molecule: non-coding RNA, 42 nt
Filed under: Trypanosoma brucei brucei
Lineage: Eukaryota; Euglenozoa; Kinetoplastea; Trypanosomatida; Trypanosomatidae
Source: RNAcentral
CAUGAAAGCUGAGUGUGUAUGGCAGUUACGAUAUAUGUUAAU